CUGGAAACAACAUCCUGAUGCUGUCUGGGUGUGGAAAAGCAGAACUCCAGCAUCAGUGAUUUUGUUGCUGG
This is a non-coding RNA of Oryzias latipes (Japanese medaka), 71 nucleotides long. The record is from Rfam. Lineage: Eukaryota; Metazoa; Chordata; Actinopteri; Beloniformes; Adrianichthyidae.